CCAGCACUUUCACAGUUCCUCCCUAGGAAGUGGGGCCAGGAUUUCGUAGCUGGUGCUGGAAGAAAACCCUUAAUUGCAUCUUUGCCCUGGAAUUUACCAGUGGCAGGUGACACUCAAGGGAACAGCA
Oryctolagus cuniculus (rabbit) is the source of this 127-nucleotide small nucleolar RNA. NCBI's taxonomy places the organism in Eukaryota, Metazoa, Chordata, Mammalia, Lagomorpha, Leporidae. The record is from Ensembl.